This 29-nucleotide non-coding RNA is filed under the name Homo sapiens (human). Lineage: Eukaryota; Metazoa; Chordata; Mammalia; Primates; Hominidae. The record is from RNAcentral.
UGCUUUUCUUGAUCAACAGGUGAGGUGAC